GGGGUUGUGGCUUAGCAGUAGAGCGCUCACCUGGCACAUAAGAGGCCCUGGGUUCAAUCCUCAGCACCA
This 69-nucleotide transfer RNA is filed under the name Ictidomys tridecemlineatus (thirteen-lined ground squirrel). Its description in RNAcentral is "Spermophilus tridecemlineatus (thirteen-lined ground squirrel) tRNA". It matches the Rfam family "tRNA". Rfam says of the family: Transfer RNA (tRNA) molecules are approximately 80 nucleotides in length. Their secondary structure includes four short double-helical elements and three loops (D, anti-codon, and T loops). The record is from Rfam by way of RNAcentral. Lineage: Eukaryota; Metazoa; Chordata; Mammalia; Rodentia; Sciuridae.